GGACCCGCGGUGCAUUAGUUAGUUGGUGAGGUAAAGGGCUCACCAAGACCCGUGAUGCCAUAGCCGACCUGAGAGGGUAAUCGGCCACACUGGGACUGAGACACGGCCCAGACUCCUACGGGAGCAGCAGUAGGGAAUCUUCCACAAUGGACGAAAGUCUGAUGGAGCAACGCCGCGUGAGUGAAGAAGGUUUUCGGAUCGUAAAACUCUGUUGUUGGAGAAGAAUGUAUCUGAUAGUAACUGAUCAGGUAGUGACGGUAUCCCAAUCAGAAAGCCACGGCUAACUACGUG
RNAcentral lists this ribosomal RNA (291 nucleotides) under uncultured bacterium. RNAcentral's name for it is "partial 16S ribosomal RNA". It matches the Rfam family "Bacterial small subunit ribosomal RNA", at positions 227 to 507 of the family's 1533-position model. The record is from RNAcentral.